AAUGAAGUAGACAGGUUUUCGGGAAGCCAUCUGUCACUCAGAUCCAUUUCUUUUGAACUUCUAGGUUGAUGGCUACUUCUGGAUGCUGACCCUGUCCGAAGCUUGAGCUCCAAAUGUCUCUGUUGCUGACAGGCCGUGGUACAGACUAAGGUUUCAAGGAGAAGAGAUUCUGGAGGAAGCACAAGGAGCUGCUUCUGGUGACGACUUUCUCGCCGGCAGAGGACUCCGGUACCAGGGGCAUCACAUGGUGAGAGUUGGGAGUGCGUGGGUCCUUCCCGGCAUGAGGGAGACUCUUGAACAU
This 301-nucleotide long non-coding RNA is filed under the name Mus spicilegus (steppe mouse). RNAcentral's name for it is "lncRNA (ENSMSIG00000011839.1)". Lineage: Eukaryota; Metazoa; Chordata; Mammalia; Rodentia; Muridae. The record is from RNAcentral.